CAUGCAUAAACAAGUUCCCAUAACCAGUCGUCCAAGAGGGUGAAGUAUCUCAUACUUCAGCAAGUCUUGACCUGAGGAACGAGGAGCCUCCCAGCGUGGUGUCGUGCACAGAUGGCAGAUACAUAUUCUGACAAUGCAGAAUGAGUCCCAGGCUUGCAUGGAAAGUCCAAACCAUGCCAGACUGAUUGAUGCAGCAUCGAUGUGUUGCUCGCCCAUGCUUUCGGCGUGUUUGUAAAUUGACCUGUGAUUAGUAAUGGAGCAGCUUCUUGUUUAUUAGUUGAAGAGUGAUGCUUAUUUGCUCUCUCUGUUUCUCCUAUCUAUCAAUCUGUCACCCCAGUGCAGAGGAAUGUAAACAGGUUUGUUGGGCGAUAAGAGAGUUCACCAGGCUGUACCGAUAGCUGUCUUUUACCUGCUGAUGCUGCAAGACCAGGUCAGAUUUUUUUGUUUUGCUAACAUUUGGAGGAAGUGGCAAAGGGAGCCAUGAUGACCACUGUUGAGAAACUAAAGGGAACUCUUGCAUGAAGGAUCUGUGGGACUUGGCAAAAUGGGAAAGCCGACCAAUUGAAUUGGAGCUUUGGAAUGGCAGGGUUUCAGGAAAAGCAAAUUGCCUUGUGGGUGUCAAAUGACCGCAGCCCCAUCCCUCCCUUUUACCCCGACGAGCACACAGAUGCCAGCCACAGCGAGAGAAGGGGGGGAUAUUUCGGAAGGGACACCGUCGUCUUGUGGGAGGGGGGCCGUCGAAUGGACACUGAAAUACAUACACCCAUUUCAAAACAUGGAUGAACGUCUGCAUCGGUCGGAUUUCUGGGGGUCCAUCAAAAACCAACGACAAAUGAGGAUGUGCCUGGUUGCAAAUCAUAAUGCAUCGUUAAAAAAGAGAGACUUGUACGUUUUUAAAAACAAAAAUGGAGAUUUAUUUUCAUGGACGUGUGUUUAGAGAUCAAGUUAUGGCUUUGCUGCCAGUGCCAUAAAAUGAUUACCAAACUAAAAAUUGUCACAGCAGCAGCAGUCUGCGCCUGUGGGACAUUUGCAAAGGGAGAGUUGGCAUCACCCUUGAUCUUUUUAAAAGUUGGCUGGGAUUUUAUCCGUACAGGUUAUGCUGUAAAUUAUGGAGUGGACUGACUGGCAGGGGCUUUU
Sinocyclocheilus anshuiensis is the source of this 1137-nucleotide long non-coding RNA. RefSeq lists it as uncharacterized. Lineage: Eukaryota; Metazoa; Chordata; Actinopteri; Cypriniformes; Cyprinidae. The transcript is spliced from 2 exons. The record is from RefSeq and is a predicted model, not a curated record.